ACGGACGCUGGCGGCGUGCUUAACACCUGCAAGUCGAACGGAAAGGCCCUGCUUUUGUGGGGUGCUCGAGUGGCGAACGGGUGAGUAACACGUGAGUAACCUGCCCUUGACUUUGGGAUAACUUCAGGAAACUGGGGCUAAUACCGGAUAGGAGCUCCUGCUGCAUGGUGGGGGUUGGAAAGUUUCGGCGGUUGGGGAUGGACUCGCGGCUUAUCAGCUUGUUGGUGGGGUAGUGGCUUACCAAGGCUUUGACGGGUAGCCGGCCUGAGAGGGUGACCGGCCACAUUGGGACUGAGAUACGGCCCAGACUCCUACGGGAGGCAGCAGUGGGGAAUAUUGCACAAUGGGCGGAAGCCUGAUGCAGCAACGCCGCGUGCGGGAUGACGGCCUUCGGGUUGUAAACCGCUUUCGCCUGUGACGAAGCGUGAGUGACGGUAAUGGGUAAAGAAGCACCGGCUAACUACGUG
Molecule: ribosomal RNA, 467 nt
Filed under: uncultured bacterium
Lineage: Bacteria
Description: partial 16S ribosomal RNA
Rfam family: Bacterial small subunit ribosomal RNA
Source: RNAcentral